This 72-nucleotide transfer RNA is filed under the name Camelus bactrianus (Bactrian camel). It matches the Rfam family "tRNA". Rfam says of the family: Transfer RNA (tRNA) molecules are approximately 80 nucleotides in length. Their secondary structure includes four short double-helical elements and three loops (D, anti-codon, and T loops). Lineage: Eukaryota; Metazoa; Chordata; Mammalia; Artiodactyla; Camelidae. RNAcentral also lists the same sequence under 1 other name. The record is from Rfam by way of RNAcentral.
GAAGGUGUAGCUCAGUGGUAGAGUGCAUGCUUAACAUACAUGAGAUCCUGGGUUCAAUCCCUAGUACCUCCA